GGACGGGGCCCGCACAAGCGGUGGAGUAUGUGGUUUUAAUUCGAUGCAACGCGAAGAACCUUACCUGGGGUUUUGACAUCCCGCGAAUCUCCAGGAAACUGGGGAGUGCCCUUCGGGGAGCGCGGAGACGGGUGCUGCAUGGCUGUCGUCAGCUCGUGUCGUGAGAUGUUCAGUUAAGUCCGCUAACGAGCGCAACCCUCACUGUGUGUUAUAUGUGUCACACGGGACUGCCGGUUUUAAGCCGGAGGAAGGUGGGGAUGACGUCAAGUCAGCAUGGCCUUUAUAUCCUGGGCUACACACACGCUACAAUGGGAAGGGACAAUAGGUUGCGAAGCCGCGAGGCGGAGCCAAUCCAGCAAAACUUCCCUCAGUUCAGAUUGCAGGCUGCAACUCGCCUGCAUGAAGUUGGAGUUGCUAGUAAACGCAGGUCAGCCAUACUGCGUUGAAUACGUUCCCGGGCCUU
This 463-nucleotide ribosomal RNA is filed under the name uncultured Anaerolineaceae bacterium. RNAcentral describes it as "bacterial SSU rRNA". It matches the Rfam family "Bacterial small subunit ribosomal RNA", at positions 916 to 1381 of the family's 1533-position model. The record is from RNAcentral. Lineage: Bacteria; Bacillati; Chloroflexota; Anaerolineae; Anaerolineales; Anaerolineaceae.